CGCUUUCAAUCUCAGUCACAACAGCAGCAGAUCUCAAAGCUGCAGUGGAUAAAGACCCCUUUCAGCUCAUCACAAGGUAUAAUGCAAACCCUGAAUGUAAGAGAAAUUAAUGCAUGGCAGAAGAUCUGUGGAGCAUCACAAACUACAGGAGAAUUAUACAUCAGGACAAGAGAAAAAGAGAAAAAUGGCAAACAAAGAAGACAAGGGACAAUCUAAUAAAUCAAGAAAGAAAAAGUCCCUGAGAUUAAUCAGACGGACCAGCAUUAAUAGCGGCAAACCAAACUUUUCUCGUGAUUCAGACAGACCAGCAGUGUUUCAUUCUGAUAAUUCAGAGACACAUACAGAUUAGAAGCCUGCAGUCAAUGAGUGAGCAGACAUGAUCUCUUCUGGGUCAUCACAGAGAGGCACAAAAUCACUUUCCAGGACCUUCACAUUCACUGUUUCUCACUGGUGGAAUGAUCUGGACAGCC
Molecule: long non-coding RNA, 470 nt
Organism: Sinocyclocheilus rhinocerous
Lineage: Eukaryota; Metazoa; Chordata; Actinopteri; Cypriniformes; Cyprinidae
Exons: 4
Source: RefSeq, a predicted model, not a curated record